GAUGAACGCUAGCGGGAGGCCUAACGCAUGCAAGCCGAGCGGUAUUGUUUCUUCGGACAUGAGAGAGCGGCGUACGGGUGCGUAACACGUGUGCAACCUGCCUUUAUCUGGGGGAUAGCCUUUCGAAAGGAAGAUUAAUACUCCAUAAUAUAUUGAACGGCAUCGUUUAAUAUUGAAAGCUCCGGCGGAUAGAGAUGGGCACGCGCAAGAUUAGCUAGUUGGUGAGGUAACGGCUCACCAAGGCGAUGAUCUUUAGGGGGCCUGAGAGGGUGAUCCCCCACACUGGUACUGAGACACGGACCAGACUCCUACGGGAGGCAGCAGUGAGGAAUAUUGGUCAAUGGGUGCAAGCCUGAACCAGCCAUCCCGCGUGAAGGACGACUGCCCUAUGGGUUGUAAACUUCUUUUGUAUAGGGAUAAACCUACCCUCGAGAGGGUAGCUGAAGGUACUAUACGAAUAAGCACCGGCUAACUCCGUG
This 479-nucleotide ribosomal RNA is filed under the name uncultured bacterium. Its description in RNAcentral is "partial 16S ribosomal RNA". It matches the Rfam family "Bacterial small subunit ribosomal RNA", at positions 28 to 507 of the family's 1533-position model. The record is from RNAcentral.